UACGGGGGGGGUAAGCGUUGUUCGGAAUUACUGGGCGUAAAGGGCUCGUAGGUGGCCAACUAAGUCAGACGUGAAAUCCCCAGGCUCAACUUAGGAACUGCGUCUGAUACUGGAUGGCUUGAAUUCGGGAGAGGGAUGCAGAAUUCCAGGUGUAGCGGUGAAAUGCGUAGAUAUCUGGAGGAAUACCGGUGGCGAAGGCGGCAUCCUGGACCGAUAUUGACACUGAGGAGCGAAAGCCAGGGGAGCAAACGGG
RNAcentral lists this ribosomal RNA (253 nucleotides) under uncultured bacterium. RNAcentral's name for it is "partial 16S ribosomal RNA". It matches the Rfam family "Bacterial small subunit ribosomal RNA", at positions 524 to 776 of the family's 1533-position model. The record is from RNAcentral.